UGUGAUGUUGGCUCUGCAGAAAAACCAAUUGAUACCACAUUUAAAUUCCAUAAGGUUAUACACAUAUAUUUGGAGUAUUUAGAUAUAGAAUCUGGAAAGCUUUGUGAUGGUGAUGGAUUACCAAUUCGGCAAUUUACUGGAAGAUUCCGUCUUUUAUGGGGUUUAUACAGAGCUCAUAGUAAUGUUGAAGACAAUAUAGUUUUUCCUGAGUUGGAAUCCAAAGAGACACUUCAUAAUGUGAGCCUCUUUGGAAGAUAUUUGAAGAUAUUUCUUGUGCUCUCUCUCUCUGAGCUUUCUGUCAUUCAUGAAAGCCUUGCAUAA
Non-coding RNA from Vicia faba (fava bean), 321 nucleotides. Lineage: Eukaryota; Viridiplantae; Streptophyta; Magnoliopsida; Fabales; Fabaceae. The record is from the annotation of a GenBank genome assembly.